Molecule: non-coding RNA, 120 nt
Organism: Capsicum annuum
Lineage: Eukaryota; Viridiplantae; Streptophyta; Magnoliopsida; Solanales; Solanaceae
Source: Rfam
GAGAGCACAAUACGAUGAAAGUUAUAAGUUGUGUUCGGGGGGGAGUUAUUGUCUAUCGUUGGCCUCUAUGGUAGAUGGUAGAAUCAAUCGGGGGACCUGAGAGGUAGUGAUUUACCUUGC